AUGCAAGGUAUGGCUCUCGACAUACAGCACUCAAACUUAUCGGUGGUGUUGUAAUCGGACUCCUUGGAAGCUUUGUCUUGCUUGUCCACAAAUGCUCUGUGGCGGUCAGCUUAUGGCCAGUUAGUUCUAGAGAUUAAACAUUUAUCUGGUAGUAGGGAGUUUGUACCACACAAGAUUAGUCGUUCUCAAAAUAGAGUUGCCGAUCGUUUGGCUUCUUACAAUCGUACGGAGCGAGCCACUGCUGUUUGGCUCCGUCAUGCUCCACCGUGUAUCGAGGACUUGUGGCCUCUCGACUGUAACUCCGUGACUUUGCAAUAA
Molecule: ribosomal RNA, 318 nt
Filed under: Triticum aestivum (bread wheat)
Lineage: Eukaryota; Viridiplantae; Streptophyta; Magnoliopsida; Poales; Poaceae
Description: partial small subunit ribosomal RNA
Source: RNAcentral